ACAAUAUAAAAAAUUUAGCAAAACAAGAACAUAAUAACUAUCAAUCUUCUCAUUUCUUAAACAAUAUACAAAAUUUAGAAAAACAGAACACUAAUAACAUAUCAUCUUCUCAUUUCUUGAUAACAAUAUACAAAUUUAGCAACAAGAACACUAAUAACACUUCAAUCUUCUCAUUUUUGAUAACAAUAUACAAAAUUUAGCAAAACAAGAACACUAUCAAUCUUCUCAUUUUUGAUAACAAUAUACAAAAUUUAGCAAAACAAGAACACUAAUAACACUAUCAUCUCUCAUUUCUGAUAACAAUAUACAAAAUUCAGAACAAACAAGAAGCUUCAUUCUUGAUAACAACUAUCAUUCCAACAAGACAUAUCAUUCCAUGUCUGAUAAAUGAAAAUUUCUAAGCAAAUCAAGACACAAUAAACAUCCACUACAUUUGAACAAUUUUACGAACAAGAAAUGAUACACUCUCCAAUUCUCAUUCUGAUAACAAUAUACAAAUUUAGAAAACAAGAACUUAUCAAUCCUCUCAUUUCUUGAUAACAAUAUACAUAAUUUAGCAAAACAAGAACACUAAUAACACUAUCAAUCUUCUCAUUUCUUGAUAACAAUAUACAAAAUUUAGAAAAACAAGAACACUAAUAACACUAUCAAUCUUCACAUUUCUUGAUAACAAUAUACAUAAUUUAGCAAAACAAGAACAAUAAUAACACUCUCAGUCCUCUUUUUUCUUGAUAAUAAUAUACAAAAUUUAACAAAAGAAGAACACUAAUAACACUAUCAAUCUUCUGAUUUCUUGAUAACACUAUACAAAAUUUAGCAAAACAAGAACACUAAUAACACUGUCAAUCUUCUCAUUUCUUGAUAACAAUAUACAAAAUUUAGCAAAACAAGAACACUAUUAAUCUUCUCAUUUUUUGAUAACAAUUUACAAAAUUUAGCAAAACAAGAACACUAAUAACACUAUCCAUCCUCUCAUUUCUUGAUAACAAUAUACAAAAUUCAGCAAAACAAGAACCCUAAUAACACUAUCAAUCUUCUCAUUUCUUGAUAACAAAAUUUAGCACAAACAAGAACACUAAUAAACACUAUCAAUCUUUCUUGAUAACAAUAUACAAAAUUCAGCAAAACAAGAACACUAAUAACACUAUCAAUCUUCUCAUUUCUUGAUAACAAUAUACAAAAUUCAGCAAAACAAGAACACUAAUAACACUAUCAAUCCUGUCAUUUCUUGAUAACAAUAUACAAAAUUUAGCAAACCAAGAACAUUAAUAACAUUAUCAAUCUUCUCAUUUCUUGAUAACAAUAUACAAAAUUUAGCAAAAUAAGAACACUAAUAACACUAUCAAUCUUCUUAUUUCUUGAUAACAAUAUACAAAAUUUAGCAAAGCAAGAACACUAAUAACACUAUCAAUCUUCUCAUUUCUUGAUAACAAAAUAGAAAAUUUAGCAAAACAAGAACACUAAUAACAAUAUCAAUCCUCUCAUUUCUUGAUAACAAUAUACAUAAUUUAGCUAAACAAGAACACUAUCAAUCUUCUCAUUUCUUGAUAACAAUAUACAAAAUUUAGCAAAACAAGAACACUAAUAACACUAUCAAUCCUCUCAUUUCUUAAUAACAAUAUACAAAAUUCAGCAAAACAAGAACCCUAAUAACACUAUCAAUCUUCUCAUUUCUUGAUAACAAUAUACAAAAUUCAGCAAAACAAGAACACUAAUAACACUAUCAAUCCUCUCAUUUCUUGAUAACAAUAUAAAAAGUUUAGCAAACAAGAACACAAUAACACUAUCAAUCUUCUCAUUUCUUAAUACAAAUAUAGAAAAUUUAGCAAAACAAGAACACUAAUAACACUAAUCAAUCUCUCUCUUUCUUAGAUAACAAUAUACACAAAUUUUAGCAAAACAAGAACACUAAUAACAUUAUCAAUCUUCUCAUUUCUGAUAACAAUUAGACAAAUUUAGCAAAACAAGAACACUAUAUAACACUAUCAAUCUUUCUCAUUUCUUGAUAACAAUAUACAAAAUUAUAAAAACAGAAACACUAAUAACACUAUCAAUCUUCUCAUUUCUUGAUAACAAUAUAACAAAAUUUAGCAAAACAAGAACACUAAUAACACUAUCAAUCUUCUCAUUUCUUGAUAAAAAUAGCAAAAUUAGCAAAACAAGACACUAUAACAACUAUCAAUCUUCUCAUUUCUUAAUAACAAUAUACAAAUUUAGCAAAAAGAACACUAAUAACACUAUCAAUCUUUCCAUUUCUUGAUAACAAUAUACAAAAUUGCAAAACAAGAACACUAAUAACACUCAAUUCUUCUCAUUUCUUGAUAACAAUAUACAAAAUUUAGCAAAACAAGAACACUAUCAAUCUUCUCAUUUCUUGAUAACAAUAUACAAAAUUUAGCAAACAAGAAACACUAAUAACACUAUCAUCUCUCAUUUCUUGAUAACAAUAUACAAAAUUCAGCAAAACAAGAACCUAAUAACAUAUCAAUCUUCUCAUUUCUUGAUAACAAUAUACAAAAUUCAGCAAAACAAGAACAUAAUAACUAUCAAUCCUCUCAUUCUUGACAACAAUAUACAAAAUUAAGGCAAAACAAGAACAUUAAUAACAUUAUCAAUCUUCUCAUUUCUUGAUAACAAUAUACAAAAUUUAGCGAAACAAGAACACUAAUAACACUAUCAAUCUUCUCUUUUUUCUUAAUAACAAUAUACAAAAUUUAGCAAAACAAGAACACUAAUAACACUAUCAAUCUUCUCAUUUCUUGAUAACAAUAUACAAAAUUUAGCAAAAACAAGAACACUAAUAAACACAUCAAUCUUCUCAUUUCUUGAUAACAAUAUACAAAAUUUAGCAAAGCAAAGAACACUAAUAACACUAUCAAUCUUCUCAUUCUUGAAUAACAAAAUAGAAAAUUUAGGCAAAACAAGAACACUAAUAACAUCAAUCCUUCAUUUCUUGAUAACAAUAUACAAAUUUAGCAAAACAAACACUAAUAACAUAUCAACCUCAUUUCUUGAUAACAAUAUACAAAAUUUGCAAAACAAGAACACUAUAUUAACACUAUCAAUUUCUCAUUUCUUAAUAACAAUAUACAAAAUUUAGCAAAAAAAACAAAACAUAAUAACACUAUCAAUCUCUCAUUUCUUGAUAACAUAUACAAAAUUUGGCAAAACAAGAACACUAAUAACACUAUCAAUGCUUCUUCAUUUCUUGAUAACAAAUAUACAAAUUUAAAAACAAGAACACUAUAACAACUAUCAAUCUUCUCAUUUCUUGAUAACAAUAUACAAAAUUUAGCAAAACAAGAAACUAAUAACACUAUCAAUCUUCUCAUUUCUUGAUAACAAUAUCAAAAUUUAGCAAAACAAGAACACUAUAAC
RNAcentral lists this long non-coding RNA (3378 nucleotides) under Lathyrus oleraceus (garden pea). RNAcentral describes it as "Pisum sativum (pea) long non-coding RNA (PSAT_LNC040039)". Lineage: Eukaryota; Viridiplantae; Streptophyta; Magnoliopsida; Fabales; Fabaceae. The record is from RNAcentral.